UGGUGGAGUGAUUUGUCUGGUUAAUUCCGUUAACGAACGAGACCUCGACUUACUAAAUAGUCUGGGUCACUACUCUACUCACGUAGUAGAAUGUUGGUGGCAGCAUGACUUCUUAGAAGGACUAUUGGCGCGUAGCCAGUGGAAGUUCGAGGCAAUAACA
Molecule: ribosomal RNA, 160 nt
Filed under: uncultured eukaryote
Lineage: Eukaryota
Description: partial 18S ribosomal RNA
Rfam family: Eukaryotic small subunit ribosomal RNA
Source: RNAcentral